Molecule: ribosomal RNA, 255 nt
Filed under: uncultured bacterium
Lineage: Bacteria
Description: partial 16S ribosomal RNA
Rfam family: Bacterial small subunit ribosomal RNA
Source: RNAcentral
UACGUAGGGGGCAAGCGUUGUCCGGAAUCAUUGGGCGUAAAGAGCGUGUAGGCGGCCUUUUAAGUCCUGCGUGAAAUCCUGCGGCUCAACCGCAGACGGUCGUGGGAAACUGGAAGGCUAGAGUGCGGGAGAGGAGAGUGGAAUUCCCGGUGUAGCGGUGAAAUGCGCAGAUAUCGGGAAGAACACCCGUGGCGAAGGCGGCUCUCUGGAACGCAACUGACGCUGAGACGCGAAAAGCGUGGGGAGCAAACAGGG